GGAACCAUGGGUUUUUCGGUUGGUUUUUUUUUCAUCUUAAACCUCCUCCUGAUCAUUUCUUCAUGUCUUUGGUUCUUUUCUUGUAAGGCAUAAUGAGUGAAUGUUCUCUUUUUAACAUCUCCCCAGUGGUGAUGAUUUUAUCAACUUUGUCAUUUCGUUUGUGCUUGUUUUUCCAUCACCACUUCUACUUAUUUCAGAACUGAUGCGAGUGCACAAAGACAAGAAAAACAGAAAACUGAACCACUCCAUGUAGAGCGGACCAGAAUUCAGUGCCUUAAUAGGAUUGGGCACAUCCACUAUACACAGCAAGCCCAGCUUUCGGGAACGUGGAACCUCUGUAUCCCUGUGCAUCUGCAGGAGAUGCAGGCAGAACGCCAUCUGGGAGUACGCUGACCUUCCCCUCUGCCUGAAUUGUGCUGUUUAGAAAAGUGAACCUUUAGGAUGAGAGUCUAAAACAGAUACUGUGAUAAAGAACCUGGGAAGCAGCAAUUUUGUACCUUAGUUAACUGUGGGUAUUACCAAUGGUUUUCAACAUGUUUUUAAUGGGGACUUUUCUCCUCCAAAGUCUCAGUUUUCACCCAGACCUACAUGCUGCCUGGUUUCCAGCCCACUGGGUGACCUGCAGUGCUGCAGCCAGGCAGGAAGAGCGUUGUGGUGACUCGGGCUCAGCAGGUACAGUUAUUGGAGAUCUGCCCUGCAAAAGUACCACUGUGCAUUAAGUAUGAGAAAAGAAUGCAUAUGCAUAUUAACAGCUGUUUAUGACGGUGGAUAGUGGUAGGACAAGGGGGAAUGGUUUUAAACUGAGACAGGGGAGAGUUGAGACACUGGAACAGGUUGCCCG
This 841-nucleotide long non-coding RNA is filed under the name Gallus gallus (chicken). RNAcentral describes it as "long non-coding RNA NONGGAT003703". The record is from RNAcentral. Lineage: Eukaryota; Metazoa; Chordata; Aves; Galliformes; Phasianidae.